RNAcentral lists this unclassified non-coding RNA (335 nucleotides) under soil metagenome. RNAcentral's name for it is "partial contains 5.8S ribosomal RNA, internal transcribed spacer 2, and large subunit ribosomal RNA". The stretch from base 1 to 120 matches the Rfam family "5.8S ribosomal RNA", at positions 35 to 154 of the family's 154-position model. The record is from RNAcentral.
GAUGAAGAACGCAGCGAAAUGCGAUAAGUAAUGUGAAUUGCAGAAUUCAGUGAAUCAUCGAAUCUUUGAACGCACAUUGCGCCCAUUAGCAUUCUAGUGGGCAUGCCUGUUCGAGCGUCAUUUCAACCCUUAAGCCCUGUUGCUUAGCGUUGGGAGCCUACAGUACUGUAGCUCCCCAAAGUUAGUGGCGGAGUCGGUUUCACACUCUAGACGUAGUAAUUUUUUCUCGUCUGUAGUUGAGCCGGUCCCCUGUCGUAAAACACCCAAUUUAUCAAGGUUGACCUCGGAUCAGGUAGGAAUACCCGCUGAACUUAAGCAUAUCAAUAAGCGGAGGA